GCCGGGCGCGGUGGCUCAUGCCUGUAAUCCCAGCACUUUGGGAGGCUGAGGCGGGUGGAUCAUCUGAGGUCAGGAGUUCAAGACCAGCCUGGCCAACAUGGUGAAACCCCGCCUCUA
This is an unclassified non-coding RNA of Pongo abelii (Sumatran orangutan), 117 nucleotides long. It matches the Rfam family "Metazoan signal recognition particle RNA". From Rfam's summary of the family: The signal recognition particle (SRP) is a universally conserved ribonucleoprotein. Lineage: Eukaryota; Metazoa; Chordata; Mammalia; Primates; Hominidae. The record is from Ensembl.